This is a long non-coding RNA of Pseudopipra pipra, 1062 nucleotides long. RefSeq lists it as uncharacterized. The transcript has 5 exons. The record is from RefSeq and is a predicted model, not a curated record. NCBI's taxonomy places the organism in Eukaryota, Metazoa, Chordata, Aves, Passeriformes, Pipridae.
GGGGCCAAGACAAGAUUUUCAAGCUUUUUCCCCACCCCAAGUGACCUCGCUGAAGACCGAGAGCGCUGACAGCUGCCGUUCCUCGGCCGGUCGCUAGUUGGGGCUCACGGCAAAGGGACGAGCCCGACUGCGGACUCCUCUCCCGGGAAUGCGCUCGCCGUCCCGGCCCCUUCCCCGCUGGACAGCCGGGGGUGGCUGGUGCGGCACCUCCCGCCACGGCAGCGGGGCCUGCCGCUCCUGGAAGGGCUUUCCCUUGGGAAGCUUCACGGCUCCGUGAGCUUCCCACUAAAAAGCCCACACAGGAGGUAGCUACCCGCUGCUGUCCCGGCUUUGCAGGAAAAAGAAGCUGAAAACUACAUAUGCAGGGUGGUACCAUUCCUUUUCUGUCUCUGACCAAGGAUGUAAGCUGAUGAUCUCCAUGCUAUUCUGCUGUGGCUCUGUCACUCCUGACCUGACCUUCAGGAUACACUGAGAGUAUUCUGAGUCCUUCCACAGUGUCUCACACUAGCACUACAGGACUUUACCUACCUCAGAGAUGGAGUCACCAGAACUGCAGGGGACUGCAACAGCUAUGGGAAGAGUCUUGGAAUGAAUAAUGUUAAACCACAUACUUACAUUGGUCAUGUCAUUUGGGCUCAAAGAUGAAAGAAAAUGCACAAAUAAUGCCUUGAUUGAGAUAUGUACCAACAUCAGGCUGGCGAGUUUGAUCACUAUUCCUGCCUUGUGAAGUAUCAUAGCUCCUCCAUGGUCAGCUGGAGGAGUAAGACAAUGUCCCCUUAUUAAAACUGUGUCAUUGACACGAAGAAAACCUGGGCAAGAGCUCUUUGCAUCUGAUGGUUCCCAAACACAGCCAUCAACUUGCAAUGCUCCUUGGAAAUUCCUCUCCCUGUGACACCAUAAAACAGAUAAAAUAAACUCAGUAAAAAAGUGUAAAUCCAGUGUCUGAAUACUAAAUUCCAAGACUGAGUUGUCUCCCCACCUUAGUCCCGUAUACAUCAUCUUGUAAGGACUCCACACCACCGGGAGUCAUGCUGGAGAGAUGUAACACCAAAAUCUCUCCCC